GAUAGGGAAUGGUCAAAAGAUAAGGUGGAAGAUCCAGGAUGAUAGAGUAUGGUCAAUAGAUAAGGUGGAGGAUCCAGGGUGAUAAAGUAUGGUCAACAGAUAAGGUGGAAGAUCCAGGGUAAUGAUACUAAAAAGGGGAGAUAAGACCAGGAUGAUAGGGUAUAGUCAAUAGAUAAGGUGGAAGAUCCAGGGUAAUGAUAUUCAAACGGGGAGAUAACACCAGGGUGAUAGGGUAUGGUCAAAAGAUAAGGUGGAAGAUCCAGGGUGAAAGAGUAUGGUCAAUAGAUAAGGUGGAGGAUCCAGGGUGAUAGAGUAUGGUCAAUAGAUAAGGUGGAAGAUCCAGGGUGAUAGAGUAUGGUCAAUAGAUAAGGUGGAAGAUCCAGGGUAAUUAUACUAAAAAGGGUAGAUAACACCAGGGUGAUAGGGUAUGGUCAAUAGAUACGGUGGAAGAUCCAGGGUAAUGAUAUUAAAAGGGGAGAUAAGACCAGGAUGAUAGGGUAUGGUCAAUAGAUAAGGUGGAGGAUCCAGGGUAAUGAUACUUAAAAGGGUAGAUAACACCAGGGUGAUAGGGUAUGGUCAAUAGAUAAGGUGGAGGAUCCAGGGUAAUGAUACUUAAAAGGGUAGAUAACACCAGGGUGAUAGGGUAUGGUCAAUAGAUAAGGUGGAAGAUCCAGGGUAAUGAUACUAAAAAGUUUGUUGCUUUUGACAAUAUAAUAAAUUCCCAGCACUUUACUGGUAUGGACAUGAAACUGUAAAAAAAAAAAAAAUCAAUGACUUUAAGUUUGUGUUUAAAUCAGUGAAAUUUUUUACCAAUAAAG
Mizuhopecten yessoensis (Yesso scallop) is the source of this 818-nucleotide long non-coding RNA. RefSeq lists it as uncharacterized. The transcript has 3 exons. The record is from RefSeq and is a predicted model, not a curated record. Lineage: Eukaryota; Metazoa; Mollusca; Bivalvia; Pectinida; Pectinidae.